CUGCGGCGCUGCUUUCAACCCAGCGCCGUAGUUUUAGCCAGGGCGGCUGCUCACAAAGCGGUGGCCCUAAUUUGAAAAAUAUGACGACCAGCAGGGGCAUCCGGGCUGGUGCCCGGACUAUCUGCGGGAUCCGUAGUGGCUUACCAGUCGCUGCUUCAGGACUGACAGCCAUGCGGUUUCUUCGCCGGUGGUGUCCCCUUACCGAGGGUGACCA
RNAcentral lists this non-coding RNA (214 nucleotides) under Pseudomonas sp. 9AZ. RNAcentral describes it as "sucA-II". It matches the Rfam family "sucA-II RNA". The record is from RNAcentral. Lineage: Bacteria; Pseudomonadati; Pseudomonadota; Gammaproteobacteria; Pseudomonadales; Pseudomonadaceae.